Cataglyphis hispanica is the source of this 7339-nucleotide RNA transcript. It is a transcript of the gene named serine/threonine-protein kinase 10, with no coding region annotated. The transcript is spliced from 14 exons. NCBI's taxonomy places the organism in Eukaryota, Metazoa, Arthropoda, Insecta, Hymenoptera, Formicidae. The record is from RefSeq and is a predicted model, not a curated record.
GUCACUUCCAGGCGUGGUGGAGCAGUGUUGCGUGUAUAUUCGCAUGACAAUUCGCGCUCGUCAGUGAGUGAGUGAGUGAGUGAGUGAGUGAGUGAGUGAGUGAGUGAGUGAGUGAGUGAGUGAGUGAGUGAGUGAGUGAGUGAGUGAGUGAGUGAGUGAGUGAGUGAGUGAGUGAGUGAGUGAGUGCAGUCACGCAACGUGUUGGUGAGAGUGGUGCUGAAAAUGGCCGUGCAUAGCUCCGCCGUAGAGUUUGCCGAUCCUCGCGAGAGAUAGCUCCGCGUGUCGCGAGCGGAACGCAUAGAAUCGCACGCGCGUGUUCCGUAAAUAGUGCGUGAUUCUCUCUUUUCUCGAUGGACGGAUUUCGCGAAACGAGACCCGCGACGUCAACCAGAUAGCGGCUACAUUCCGGUGGAUUUUGCAGCGCGGUGGGGAGGAGGAAAGCGGUGUGUCGUGUCCAAGAUCUCCAGGCUAAUCGCUUUAUCGCGCGAAAGAGAACGCUUGAUUGCAAUAUAUGUUGCAUAUACAAUUAUUGAAGAGCAAUGGAUCGCAUUCGUCUUAUCUAUGCUCAAAGCAGUUUGCACCUAACAAUAAUCAAUUAAGAAGUGUGGUGGUUUAGAAUUUACAAAAAUGCGGGAGUGGUGCGGCACGGUCCCCUGGUAUCCAGCAGGGAUCUGAAACAAAAUAUCUGUGCUGAAAGAACUCUUGAUAUAAUAAAUAUUAAAAUAAUGUGGACUGUAUAAAGUAAUACAUUGUUUUAAAUGUACUGCUUAUUACAAUGCUGAUAAAAUAAUGGUUACUGAGCUCUUUUGAACAUUGAGCAAAGUAACAUUUUAUGAAUUUAAUACACAAUUGCUAAUAGCUACAUUUUGUACAGUCAAAGAGUAUUUUGCGUGUUUAAAUUCUAAUAAUAAAAGUUCAGUUGUUGAGUGUAUGUGCAAAUAUAUCAAACUGUAACUGCCAAAAUGUCAUUCUUAUCGAAUCUGAAGAAAGCAUUCCACUUUGGUGGUAAUGAUGCAAAGAAGAAGAAGUUGUAUAAUAAUAUUAAAAUGGAUUGUAAUCCGGAAGAGUUUUGGGAAAUGGUGGGUGAAUUAGGCGAUGGUGCAUUUGGUAAAGUUUAUAAGGCACAGCACAGGCAGACCAACCAGCUUGCUGCUGCAAAAAUGUGCGCAUUAGAGGGAGAAGAUGAUCUUAGUGAUUUUAUGAUUGAGAUAGAUAUUUUAUCAGAAUGCAAACAUCCUAAUAUUGUUGAAUUACACGAAGCCUAUUUCAUUGAGGGAAAAUUAUGGAUGUUAAUCGAAUAUUGUGAUGGUGGUGCUGUGGAUUCCAUAAUGGUUGAGCUGGAAAAAGCUCUAACUGAAAUGCAAAUAGCGUACAUUUGUCAGCACAUGACUAAAGGUCUGGCUUUCCUACACAAAUCCAAAGUUAUACACAGGGAUUUAAAGGCAGGAAAUGUUUUAUUGACUAUGGCAGGAGGUGUUAAAUUAGCUGAUUUUGGAGUAUCUGCAAAGAACAAGCAUACUUUACAGAAGCAUGAUACAUUUAUUGGUACUCCUUAUUGGAUGGCACCCGAAGUUGUUUUAUGUGAAACAUUUAGAGAUAAUCCCUAUGAUUUUAAAGUAGACAUCUGGUCUCUUGGUAUAACUCUGAUAGAGUUUGCACAAAUGGAGCCACCGAACCACGAAAUGUCGCCGAUGCGAGUACUACUUAAAAUACAAAAAAGCGAUCCGCCGAAAUUGGAUCAACCCGGGAAAUGGAGUAAGGAAUUUAAUGAUUUUAUUGCUAAAGCACUUAUAAAGGAUCCAACCUCACGACCUACAGCUGACGAUUUGUUAAAACAUCCGUUUAUAAGUCGAAAUCUAGAUUCAAAGCCUAUCAAGGAUUUGUUACUUGAAUAUAAGGCGGAUGUUGUUGAAGAGGAGCUCGUAGACGAGGAAGCAGAGGAGCAGCGCACGUCUCAGCUUCCUCUGGAGCUGGAUCAAAUCACAGAUGACUCCGCUCCUACGCGCCUUGAUGCUGAAAUUAAGAUCGCUGACAAAGAAAAUCUCGUGGCAUUGCCUGCGCCUAUAAAGAAAGAAGAAAGUAAUAAGCGUGAGAUCAACCGUGAUGGUGAGAAGGAGGAUAAAAAUAAGAGAUUACGUAAGGCUGAAUCCAAAGAGAACAUACAGCCUCCACCUGCUGAGAAAAAGCAGGCACCUAAGCCGCCAAACGAAACAAGUGAGCGUAGAUUAUCUCGAGAUAAAGGGCCGGCGCCUCCCCCACCACCUAUGCGUCAAGAUAGUGAAGAAAAGAAGAAAAAGGACGUCGAAGAGAAAGAGAAUAUUUCGAAAGAUGUCGAAAAGAUCGUGAAUCGAAUGGAUAAACAGAAAUCUGCCGAAGACAAAUCGCAAAUUAAUAAGUUAUCACAAAAUGAAAAGACGGUGGAUCAGCAAGUGACAAACAUUAAAGAACAAAGAAACUUGGAAACUGAAGAUCGGAUGCAAAAUGAAUUGGAUGGUUCCGGGAAAAUAAAGAAAGCUGAAAAUGAAGAUAAUGUUAAACUGUUCGAUAAUAUAAGAAGAUUUGAAAAUCAACAGAAGUUAAUAAACAGCAAAUCGAGUCCAGCUUUGAAAAAGCAAAUGGGAGUAAAUGAGAAACGCAAAUCGGCACCUGUAAAGCCAGAAAUGAUUGAAGAUUUGUCGAAAAUAAUAUACAAGCAAUCAUCUUUAGAAAAUAAGGAUAGGAUGAAAAAUAAAUUAUUAUCCGUUGAUGAUGUAACGAAUUAUAAUCUGCAAUCUCAAGAGAAAGAUGAUUAUAAGAGUUUGGAAGAAAAACGGAAAUCCGUCGGAGAGAAACUGAACGCUGUAUUGGAGAAGCGAUUGUCUAUGGAUACUGGAAAAAGAAUAAGCGAUGGUUCUAUGGAAACUUUGAAGCGUACAUCUACCGUCACAUCAACAGUUUUAUUAGAGAAGAAUAACGUUAAGGCUAAUUCUAUAGAAGAUAUUAAGACACAGUUUGGCCUAAUAAAGACUGAGAGUGCGACUGUGAAAAGUCGCAGCGCGGGAUCGUCCAGAAACGAUUCUAUGGAAAGCUUCUCGGACGAAUUACACGUUAAAGUGGAUGAUAAUAGCACAGAACACGGGCGAAAAGACGCAGUGAGCGACGGUGAGAAACAAGAUUCGGGAAUUAACGUGUCGGUAAUUACGUCGACGCCGCUGAAAAGUAGAAGCGGUUCGAGAAGAAGUAGCGGAGACAAUAUAGUCGUUAUUACUGGAAAAAAUCAACCCGAACAAGAAGUACGCUUAAACACUUCGACUGUCCAUAUUACUGCCGACUCGCCGGACAUGUCGAAUAGCCUUGCGAGUAAUAUAAGUCAAGUUACCGUUGUGACGACCCAUCCGCCGGUGUUAGUGGACGCACCAACGACGACAUCAACGACGAUGACAACGACGACACCUCUUCCGCGUCGCACUUCGCCAACGUCGGAAGUCAUUAUCGUUGCCAACGAAAUGAACAAGACUCAGGUGAAUGACAAUUCGAUCGUCGAUGAUGACGCAUUUCCUAGUCUGGAUAGUCUGGAAUAUACGCCACAAGAACAGCCUAUCGUACUUACCGACGUGUCCAAGAGGAUUGGUAAAAAGUUGGACGAGUCAGAAGUGAUUAUAGUGAGCCCAAUUGUGGACGAAUUGCAAGAUACCAGUCACGUCUCCGUAGUUACGGUGGGCGAUGAUAAGGAACAAGUGAAGGAUUCUUCGAUAUCCAAGAAGCAUAACGUUGUUCGUACCGGUUCUUCUCACAGUGAUUUGAGUUUGAAUGAGAGAUCGAGUUUGAAGAGUGACAGCGGAGACGAGAGCGGCAAAGUGAUGGUCGCCGGUAUUAUAGAACCUCCGGAAGAUGACUACGAGAGAAAUGGAGCGAAAAAGAUGAACGGAUUGAUCAAAAAUGAGAUCAUACCGCAUCACGCCGACGAUAGAAUCGUGAAGACAGUCAAGCCAAAGGAGAUCAAUGUCAAGAGUUUUGGCAAGGAAAAACGAGUUUCUCCGGAUAGCUUCGAAGGUUCCAGGUCUCAGAGCGAUUCCAGUUCUAUAAGAUCGCACACCCCGAGCAAGAGUAUUGAUCGUUCCGACGCCGAAUCCAUCUCGACGACGAUCAGUCAGGAUAGCAGAGAAUCGAACAAGGAAAAUCGCUUGAAUCAAGCUCAGCACACGGAAGCCGAUGAGGAAGUUGUUCUGCGUCGUAAGCCCGAUUACAAUCGCGAAAUAUCUCGACCGACCAGAACAAAGGAGGAUAUACAGAUGAUGAAUCUGAAAAAGAAGACGAGAAAACGGACGAGAAAGUUCGAGAUUGACGGUGUCGUGAUGACAACAACGACUUCGAAGGUGAUAUACGGCGACGAUGAAAAUGGCAAGGUAUAUGACGAUCAGAUAUUCAGGAAACAAGAGCUGAGGGAAUUGAAGAUGCUGCAAAAAAUGGAGCAGAAGCAGUUCCAGGACUUGGCACAGAAGGCUCAGUUCAACAAAGAUCAGCAGGAGAAGCGGUUUGAGCAGGAACGGCAACUGUUGGAACGUAACGCUGAAGCGGAUUUAGAAGCGCUUGCCAGACAACAAAGACAACAGAUUGAGCGGGCCGAGGCGCAGCAGGAAGUCGACCUGCGACUAGCGUCCAAGAAAAUUCGUAGCGAGCAAGAGAGAGAACUCAAGCAGUUCCGAGAAGGCCUGAAACAAGAAUUGAGAUUAUUGAAGCAAGAGAUAGACUUGAUGCCAAAGGAUAAGCGAAAGAGUGCGUUUAAGAUACGAAAGGAGAAACUUGAAGCAGAGCACGAGGAGCGAGAAAAGCUCUUCCUGGAGAAGCUCAAUGAGAGUCACGAGAUGUCGCUGAGGCGAUUGUCGGAUAGUCAUCGCGAGAAGAUCGCGUUGAUGGAACGGCAAUUCUUGCAGCAGAAGCAGCAAUUGAUGCGCGGCAGGGAAGCGGCCAUCUGGGAGCUGGAAGAACGGCAGAUACACGAGCGGCAACAAUUACUCAAGAAACAGCUCAAAGAUAUAUUCUUCCUGCAGAGACAUCAGAUGCUCAUACGACAUGAGAAAGAGCUGGAACAGAUGAAGCGAAUGAAUCAGAGGAAAGAGGAAGAGUUGAUCAAGCGGCAAACGGUGGAACGUAGAAAUCUGCCUAAGCGUAUUCGCAACGAAAUGAAGGCACGCGAGAUGAUGUUCCGCGAAUCGAUGAGGAUCUCGAUGUCGUCCGUGCUCGCGCCGGAUCCCGAUGCAGAGCGGGAGAAACUGAAAAAGUUUCAAGAGAACGAGAAGAAGAGAUACAGAGCGGAACAACAAAGAUUUGAACUGAAGCAUUCCAGACAGCUCGAGGAAGUGAGGGCCCAGAGCGAUGCCACAAUCAAGGAACUAGAGCAGUUGCAGAACGAAAAGCGAAAAAUGCUGAUGGAACACGAAACGUUAAAGUUGAAAGAACAGGAAGAGGCUUACGGCAAAGAAAUUCGUGAGUGGAAAGCGCAACUUAAACCCCGAAAGCAGAAGCUAGAAGCUGAUCUGGCGGCUGAAAUGGAAGCAUUGGAAAAGCUCUACCAAGACUAUUUGCCUUCUUCUGGUCUUCUUAGUGGUCUCUCUUUUCCCUUUUUCGACUACUCUAAAACCGUAAUUUCCGACACUUGGAAGAGAUCUCCACGCUUACCGCGCUCCACUCCCACCUCUCCUUCUUUCACUAUACCCAGGGUGUCGCUAAAAAUUAGUACUUCGGACGCAGACACUUACGCGUCGAACGGCACGCUCUCACGAAGUCAUUCUAGACCGGACUUAGUUCCGCCUUUUCGUAAAUUGUAUCCAUUCUAAAUCAUCCUCCUAAUAAUACAUUCAUGUCACAUAGGCAAAACGCUUUAAGCGUAUAUACAUGCAUGUUAUAUAUCUGCAUACAAAUCGAUGUUUCUUCUUUUUGUGUCUUUCAAAGGCAUAGAGUAACGUCUUUCAAGUGUACGCAUAUAUAGAUUUCCAAGUCUUCCCAGCUUCUGCAAAUGGCAAGCUUCAUUUCCAUAUAUUGCAUGUAUUUAAUGCAUCAGUGCAUAUGUGUGUCCUUACAUAUCCUUGGUCUAAAAUAAAAAAGUUCGUAUUUUAGCAAGGAAACAUUGUUUAAAUCAUUUACAUUUUGAAACAUAUCGCAAUUUUGUUGCAAUUUCAUUCUUAUAUAGCUUUCUUUCAAACAUUAAUAAGAUUUCCAUGUUUAUAUAACAUAUACUUUCUCUUAAAUAACCAUAGAAAAAUAAUCUUUGCUAUAUUCAUUGAUGCCUUUAAUAAUAAUGCCAUAGAUCGGCGGACAUACAAAUUAGAUGUAGUAUAUAUACAUAUUUUUUUAUGUAUGAAAUUAUACAAAAAGUUAUUAAUAUAACUUGAAAGAUAAGUAACUAUAUACGGUUUUUGUAAAAAAAACUUGUGGGAUAUAUAUAUUGGAAGAAAUCGUAUUAUAUAAUAGAGCAGAUUAAUUUAUUCUUUGUGAAUUACAAUUCCAAGAAUAAAAAAAACAAAAAAAUAUGCACAAUCAGUCAGAGAGGAUCUUAAUUUCUCGAGAUCUAUGUAGAAAGUUUGAAUGUGUGUUAGUGUUCUUAUUUUUUUCUUUCUCUUUCUAUUUUUCUUUCAUUUUCAUUUAGUGUGUAAUUUUUGAUCCAUUUAUAGUUUGUAGAAAAUCUGUUGAUAAAAGUAUUUGAAAGAAGAAAGGAGAAACACUAAUAAAUUUGUGUAUCUAAUAAUAUAUCUAUUAAAUAUACAGAUUUCAGUUAAAAUUAUUAACAUGAGGGAGUAUUUAUAAGAAUAGAAAUAAAAAGAAUAAUAAACUCGUUGUGUGUAUAUACAUUUUUAGAAUUAUGUGUGAGAAUUACAUUUGUACAUUGUAAUUUUGUCCAUGUAUUUCGAUUUAAUCGUACACAUAUAUUAUAAAUUAUAUUGUGCUUCAUUAUAAGCUUAAAUGGUAAAAAUAUGGAAAUAACAGGGUAAGUGUGUUUAUGGUUUAGAGUUAGUAAAAUAAGGUGUCAUGAGCGGUUUCCUUGAGGGGUCCCAUAACUAUGAUUGUUUAAUAGUAUAUACAAUCUAUUUUUUUUUAUUACAGUCCUCUUACUUGAAUAAUAUACAUAUAUGUGAUCCUAUAGAAAAAUCCUAAUGAAAAGUUAAAAAGAGAUUCCACAAGUUUCGGAUUCAAAGCUGUGUACAAAGUGUUAAGCCACAAGAAACUUGAAGAACAGUUUGCAUUACAACUCGAGGAGCAGGAGGCGAUUUAUGGUCCUAGUGCGAUACCGUUAUGCUUGCCGGCCGAUCUUCCCGACUUGACGCAUCAUACGACCGAGUCUACGCGUAGUUCAUUGUCUUCC